Molecule: RNA transcript, 813 nt
Organism: Solanum pennellii
Lineage: Eukaryota; Viridiplantae; Streptophyta; Magnoliopsida; Solanales; Solanaceae
Gene name: PLAT domain-containing protein 3-like
Exons: 2
Source: RefSeq, a predicted model, not a curated record
UAUAGGUAUAUUACCAUACAAUCACUCCUACUAUCUUUACAUCAUAUUUUCCUUUACCCUCUCACUUAAUUUUCAGUUCUAUCUAGAGAAAGAAACAACUAGUAAUUAACUAUAGACAGAAGGAGAACAAAAGAACCAGCCAUGGGAGUAGCUCAAGUUAACCAAAUGUGGUUACAUCUCAUGAUCAUCCUCUUCUCCUUCUCCAUCUCCAUUUCUUCUAUUUCUGGAGCUGAAUCAAAUUGUAUAUAUACAGCUUAUGUCCGUACUGGGCCAUUCGUAGAGGAUGCAACUGACUCAAAAAUUACCUUAACUCUGUAUGAUGCAAGUGGAUCUGGAAUUAGAAUCAACAACCUAGUGGCUUGGGGUGGGCUGAUGGGCAAUGGUUACAACUACUUUGAAAGGGAUAGCAGGGAUAUGUUCAGUGGUAAAGGCCCAUGCUUGUCUGGCCCUAUUUGCAAAAUGGUGUUAACUUCAGAUGGUACAGGAAGAAAUCAUGAAUGGUACUAACUACGUUGAAGUCACAUCAACAGGAGACCACAAACAAUGCAGCCAACAAUUGUUCAAUGUGGAUCAAUGGCUUAGCACCAAUCGUUCACCAUAUCAGCUCUCGGCCACCAGGAACAACUGUAGGCGUUUGUCGGAUGAGCAACAGUCGCUUUACCUUACUGAAUCAAAUAAUGUUGUUGAUGUGUAAUUUGAGAAUUUCUUCUCUAUCUUUUCAAUUUUAUGUUAUCUCAUCAUAUAUGUUCUACCUUUGGAUCUAAUUUUCAAUGUUCUUCGCUUCUAAUGUAACUUUGUGAGUUGCUUCUAGCA